ACGAACGCUGGCGGCGUGCCUAAUACAUGCAAGUCGAGCGGACUGAUUAAGAGCUUGCUCUUAUGACGUUAGCGGCGGACGGGUGAGUAACACGUGGGCAACCUGCCCUGUAGAUCGGGAUAACACCGAGAAAUCGGUGCUAAUACCGGGUAAUAUCUGAGAUCACAUGAUCUUAGGUUAAAAGAUGGCUCCGGCUAUCACUACAGGAUGGGCCCGCGGCGCAUUAGCUAGUUGGUAAGGUAAUGGCUUACCAAGGCGACGAUGCGUAGCCGACCUGAGAGGGUGAUCGGCCACACGGGGACUGAGACACGGCCCAGACUCCGACGGGAGGCAGCAGUAGGGAAUCUUCCGCAAUGGACGAAAGUCUGACGGAGCAACGCCGCGUGAGUGAUGAAGGGUUGCGGCUCGUAAAGCUCUGUUGUUAGGGAAGAAACAGUACCGAACGAACUAGGUCGGUACCUUGACGGUACCUAACCAGAAAGCCACGGCUAACUACGUG
Molecule: ribosomal RNA, 499 nt
Filed under: uncultured bacterium
Lineage: Bacteria
Description: partial 16S ribosomal RNA
Rfam family: Bacterial small subunit ribosomal RNA
Source: RNAcentral